This 372-nucleotide ribosomal RNA is filed under the name Salmo trutta fario. RNAcentral's name for it is "partial 16S ribosomal RNA". Lineage: Eukaryota; Metazoa; Chordata; Actinopteri; Salmoniformes; Salmonidae. The record is from RNAcentral.
CCUUAAUAGCGGCUGCACCAUUAGGAUGUCCUGAUCCAACAUCGAGGUCGUAAACCCCCUCGUCGAUAGGGACUCUGGGAGAGGAUUGCGCUGUUAUCCCUAGGGUAACUCGGUCCGUUGAUCGGCGUUCGCCGGAUCAUUUUUGGUCAGAAAUUCUGGUGCUUAGAGUUGUGGCUCUUGGUUGUGGGGGCAGUGUCCCCAGUCCACAUGGGGGCUUUGUUUUCCCCCGCGGUCGCCCCAACCAAAGACAUAGGGGCUAGGGGUCACUGUGUUUUUACUUGUUAAUUCAAGGUUACUUGACGUGAUCUGCCUGGUGUCUAAAGCUCCAUAGGGUCUUCUCGUCUUAUGUAUUUAUGUCCGCUGCUGCACGGG